CACGUAGGGGACGAGCGUUGUCCGGAUUCAUUGGGCGUAAAGCGCGCGUAGGCGGCUCGGAAAGUCGGUCGUGAAAUGCCGGGGCUCAACCCCGGGACUGCGUCCGAUACUUCCGGGCUGGAGGUAGGUAGGGGAGAUCGGAAUUCCUGGUGUAGCGGUGAAAUGCGCAGAUAUCAGGAGGAACACCGGUGGCGAAGGCGGAUCUCUGGGCCUUACCUGACGCUGAGGCGCGAAAGCCAGGGGAGCGAACGGG
Molecule: ribosomal RNA, 253 nt
Filed under: uncultured bacterium
Lineage: Bacteria
Description: partial 16S ribosomal RNA
Rfam family: Bacterial small subunit ribosomal RNA
Source: RNAcentral